This 811-nucleotide long non-coding RNA is filed under the name Helianthus annuus (common sunflower). RNAcentral's name for it is "hypothetical non coding rna". Lineage: Eukaryota; Viridiplantae; Streptophyta; Magnoliopsida; Asterales; Asteraceae. The record is from RNAcentral.
AUGGAUUAUCUAGAUUGGGAGGGUUAUCUUGAGAACGCUAUAUAUAUGCAAUGCAACAAAAUCAUACUACAAUACUAUUCCAAUGCUUCGUAAAAUACAGCAAAUUCUUACAAACUUGUAAAGAUAGAUUCAUGAAAUCCAACUUAAUAAACUCAAUUUACUUUUAUUUAACAAAACAUAUGUAGAAAUAUAUUUACAAAAGUAUUAAAUCAAACACAAAUCUACUACUUUAAACUAUACUAAUCAAAAGCCAAAAUCCAUAACUCAUCUAUUUUAUAUCUGUAUACUUCUAAAUCCAUAUCUAUCUAUAUUUCUAUAAUAAAUGAAAAUCUUUGAGGACACCAGUCACCUUCUUUUUCCGCCUCUCUGUCAUAUUAAAUAAAGUAUUAAAUCAUAAUUUUUUCGUUUCUCUCUUAUUUAUUUAAUAUCUGUUUUCCCAACUACUUCCUUAUUUUUUCCGCUCAUUAAUAACUAUUUAAUAUUUCAUUGAUCCAACAUUCCAACCCCUGUGUAAUAAACUUAAUAACUAUUUAAUAUUUCAUUGAUCCAACAUUACAACCCCUGUGUAAUAAACCGGUUUCAAACCUAGUUACUGAAUAAAGUAAAUACAAACUGUUUUCUUUGGGUAAUUAUCAUCAAUUAUUCAAUUAUCAAAUAAUUAAUAGUUUUCCUACUUUACUUAACACAGGGUUUCUAACCUAGUUACUUCAUCUUCCUCUUUGAUUGAUUUCAGUUGCCGUUCAAAUCCAUAUUUCUCGUAUCAUUUAGUUCAAACAUGUAUAACAAUAUAGGUCAUGAUAAUAGAAAGGGA